AUUAUUUUUUUUAAAAGGCAUUAAUAACUAAUAAUAUAAAUAAAGUCUCUAAUAGAAUAAGAGAAAAAGAGGGUGUAAAAUUCUAAGUUAAAUAAUAAGACUUAGGAAGCCUUUCUUAUGCCUCCACAGACAUUUCCUCAUUACUUGAUGCAGAGACUGAUGCUCUCCAGCACAGGGGCUGGUUUUACCCUGUGUUCUGUGUGUUGGAAUAGCAUCCCCAUGGCUUAGCUAAUCACAACAAUACCCAAGCCAAUGGCAGGUCCUACUCCUCCAUUAGAUCUGACACUUUCAGACUGCUCCUCUUCCCCUUUGCCUCUAUUGUUUUCUUCAUAUACAUCAUUGUUAAACCUUUCUUGAACAUGCAGUUGUCCUUGUAAUCUGAAUUGUAUGUUGAUUUCAUGUUUGUUGACAUGUUUGCUGAGCAGUUGAAUGAGCUUUUGGACAAAUAUUAAAUAAAUGGUCACUUUUUAACACAAUUUUAAUGGUGUCAAUCAUUUUAAAUUUUAAGCUACUAAGAAAGAAGGGUGCACAAAUUGAAACACGAUGUGCAGGGCAGUGAUUCUUUCUAACUCUUAAUGCUGUCAUGAUAAUAAGCAUAUCUUGCUUUCCAUAUUUUUAUUUCCAGAUUUGUAAAAGAAGCCCUCGUAAUUUUCACAUAUGGGAUCUAUGGCACCUACUACCCUCAUGUCUGUCUCUCAGCCCCUUUGCUUUUUCUUUUUUUGUCAUAAUGCAGCAGGAGUUAACAGCUUAGGGGAUGGAAACAGGUCUGAAAGUCUCCAGGAAGAUAAUGCUUGGGAAGACAGGUUUAAACUAAAUAAGAAAGCAGAUUUCAUCGGCCUUCUUGGAAACAAACUGACCAGACUUGUGAUCUGUUUCUAAAUUUGGCCUUUGCAUUUUCCACAUGCAGGAAGUGACAAAAACAGUGGCAGUAAUCCUUGGUGAGUUUGGACACGCACAUCAAGGGCCAAAAGCCUUUGUCUGCUAUAGGCCCAAGUUUUGGAAACCGAAGACUUUUGCAACAGAUUUGAAUGUGCUGCAGGGGCACAAAUAUAAACACAGCUUUUAUACUGAUUUUCUGUUUCCUAAAAUGCACCAUUUCUGGAUGAUGUUAAAAGAGCCUGAAUAGAAAAAAAAAAAAAAAAAAAAGCUAACCUAAAGCGUUGAGCACAUUAGUUUGUGGCAAGCCAAGUUCCAACUGAUGAAAAUAAAAGAUGCUGUGAACAUAUGAUAAAACUCCUA
RNAcentral lists this long non-coding RNA (1239 nucleotides) under Phasianus colchicus (ring-necked pheasant). Its description in RNAcentral is "lncRNA (ENSPCLG00000021896.1)". The record is from RNAcentral. Lineage: Eukaryota; Metazoa; Chordata; Aves; Galliformes; Phasianidae.